RNAcentral lists this transfer RNA (72 nucleotides) under Oryzias latipes (Japanese medaka). It matches the Rfam family "tRNA". From Rfam's summary of the family: Transfer RNA (tRNA) molecules are approximately 80 nucleotides in length. Their secondary structure includes four short double-helical elements and three loops (D, anti-codon, and T loops). The record is from Rfam by way of RNAcentral. Lineage: Eukaryota; Metazoa; Chordata; Actinopteri; Beloniformes; Adrianichthyidae.
GGCUUGUUGGUCUAGGGGUAUGAUUCUUGCUUUGGAUGCAAAGAGUCCCUGGUUCAAAUCCCAGACAAGCUC